CUUCUCUGAGCUGGCUGAAGACA
Molecule: non-coding RNA, 23 nt
Filed under: Cricetulus griseus (Chinese hamster)
Lineage: Eukaryota; Metazoa; Chordata; Mammalia; Rodentia; Cricetidae
Source: RNAcentral